RNAcentral lists this ribosomal RNA (312 nucleotides) under uncultured fungus. RNAcentral's name for it is "SSU rRNA". It matches the Rfam family "Eukaryotic small subunit ribosomal RNA", at positions 748 to 1061 of the family's 1831-position model. The record is from RNAcentral. Lineage: Eukaryota; Fungi.
GGGGAACCAGGACUUUUACUUUGAAAAAAUUAGAGUGUUCAAAGCAGGCAUUUGCUCGAAUACAUUAGCAUGGAAUAAUAGAAUAGGACGUGCGGUUCUAUUUUGUUGGUUUCUAGGACCGCCGUAAUGAUUAAUAGGGAUAGUCGGGGGCAUCCGUAUUCAAUUGUCAGAGGUGAAAUUCUUGGAUUUAUUGAAGACGAACUACUGCRAAAGCAUUUGCCAAGGAUGUUUUCAUUAAUCAGGAACGAAAGUUGAGGGAUCGAASACGAUCAGAUACCGUCRUAGUCUCAACCAUAAACUAUGCCGACUAGG